UCCCAGUGUGACCAGAAUAGGGAGAUGG
This 28-nucleotide small RNA is filed under the name Bombyx mori (domestic silkworm). Its description in RNAcentral is "ovarian small RNA-7270". Lineage: Eukaryota; Metazoa; Arthropoda; Insecta; Lepidoptera; Bombycidae. The record is from RNAcentral.